Molecule: ribosomal RNA, 255 nt
Filed under: uncultured bacterium
Lineage: Bacteria
Description: partial 16S ribosomal RNA
Rfam family: Bacterial small subunit ribosomal RNA
Source: RNAcentral
UACAUGUGGGGCGAGCGUUGUUCGGAAUUACUGGGCAUAAAGGGUGCGUAGGCGGCAUGCCAAGUCACUGGUGAAAGUUCACGGCCCAACCGUGAAAUUGCCGGUGAUACUGGCGUACUUGAGUGCGUGAGGGGUCGGGGGGAACGAGUGGUGUAGCGGUGAAAUGCGUAGAGAUCACUCGGAAGGCCGGAGCCGAAGGGGCCCGACUGGUACGCAACUGACGCUGAGGCACGGAAAGCGUGGGGAGCAAACAGG